GGACAUUACUGGUAGUCCGUAUUCAACCGUCGGUCGUUACGCGACGGUGCGCCGCAUAAUAACUGCAAGUAAGCUGAAUUCGUACUAGAACUGACGAUGAGUUGUGAAAGGCCGAGUCGAAAACAGACGCAUAUGGUUUUAAUUAGAUGGGACAUCCCCAUCACAAAUAUAAUCGAAAAUUAUUCGUUGGACUUUUUAUUUUCGCCAAUAAAGCUUUAUUGAUGUUCCCACAGUCCAAUUAUGUACACGAACUUCGAUCUGCCGCCGUGGUGUUACAUUUGGGUAUCGUUUAACUACAGGAUAUCCGAAAUAAAUUUCCGGUUAUUUUCGUUAUGAUUUGGAUGCUGCUGACCGACCGUACAAUGCGUGCAUUAUGGACCGUGUUAAUUAUUUGUGAUAAGUACAUCAGGACAAACGAUGACACACGGCCGGUAAACGAAAACGCUGCUAUUGGAGGAUGUACAUAUACAUCAUUCGCGAGCGAAAAUGUAUACUACGUGUGUGUUUGAAUAUAUAUAUAUACACUACAGAGCACGGGGGUGUUUUUUUUUUGGAGAGGAGUACACAGAAUCCUCGUACAUCCUACAUCCGUUAUUCAUUUGGUUCGGUCGCCGUUUUUAGCGCAAGAAUUAACAAGUGCGGCCUAUCCCUGCCGACUAAUUAACUGCACCCGCCGCCACAGCAGCAGCAGCAGCAGCAGCAGCAGCAGCAGCAGUCAGAGAGGAAGAGUACAACGAUAUAAUACAUUACGAUUCCGGAGGACUAUUUGGACCACGCGUGAGAAGGAUGCGCAAAGAUGUAUGAGAUAGAAAACGCGACGCUCGCCAGGACUCGCCACAGCCAGCAUUAUAUACACAAGGAGCGAGGGACGGCACCAGGCAGCCGGAUCCAAUAAUACAGCAGUUAUUUACGACCAAUAGCUCAAUUCCUCAAUUUCGGGAUCCCGCAGGAGCGGCUUACACGCUCGCACGCUCACGUCCCGGGGCCGCCCGCGCCAGGGGACUAGUAAACUAUACGUUCGCACACUCGUCCUGAUGCAUUGUUGCAGCGUUGCAGCAGCGAACCGGGAGACAGGAAGACGGUUGUAAUCUUCCGGCCCCAUAAAUCCGAACAUAUUUUAUACAAUGCGCACCUUCGAUUUAAUUAUCAGUGAAUUUGAUGGAUUGCUACAGGUUUCCAAUGCAUAUCCUACUAUAUGGUGGUAAUUAUUCCCUAGCGGUGUUAUUGUAUUCGUAUACCUAUUUGGGUUUCAGAAGCCACACGUUUCGUUAUGGAGCUUGAUACUAGUCACUAGAUUUGUCAAGUAAACGUUCGGGAAUCCUGCAGAACACCGAAUACAUUAAUACAUAUAUGAAUAACAAUACAUAAGUAUUAUAUAUGAUCGUGCUCGUCUAACGGCAGAGCCACAGUGGUCGUUUAUACAGUCAUACUAUAGUUUUUGAUGUGUGGCUACUUUGUUAAUUUCAUUUUUUUUUAUUUAAUGAAUUGUUAUACGCUCUCAACAUAUUUGCAUAAAACAAUGGAGUUAUUAAAACUAAAUUCAAACGUAGCUGUGAACAUUAUACACAUUUAAACGUACUGCAGUAAACGGAAUGAAGACUUCUGUCGGAAAAGUUUAUUAGGAAAUCGCACCCCCAUUGAUCAGCGAGUACGAGCAGUUAACGGGACGAAAUCGAAAGCCCCGUAAAAUAUGCGCGGAACCUACAACCCCAAAUUGACAACUUCCGUAAUAUAUACCAACAUCUUUAUAUACAGGGUCAUCUCGCGGAUACACACGACGACGACGUUUUACUCGCGAAUCUUUUCCAUAUACUGCGUGCGCUCUCAAAAACGUGUACGGUGUACCUAUAGAUGGGUAUUAUUAUACGCGUGCAUAAAUGUAUAACGUAUAUUAUAUAUAAUAUAUUUUAUAAACAUCAGGUAUAUGUAUACCGAUGUAUGUAUGUAUGUAUGUAUAAUAAUAUAAUACAGAAUGUACCUGCAGCAGCCUACGCGUAUGUACGACUCGGAAAAUACUGCAGCUCAGAUUACAAUCGCGGGUAAUCAGCAAUCGUAUUAACUGUGUUGCUAAUAAUAUAAUAUUAUGUAUGUAUGCACAUCGUAUAAACUAUACGUAUACUCAUUUAUUGUGGUUCACGCGUGUAGUUUAGUUUUUUUUACGUCUAAUUAGCGAUCGCAUUUUUUUUUUUUUUUUGUUCAAGCCAAACACUCCACUGGAGAAAUGAACAUACUCGACAACAUCAAAUGGACUAAACGAUGAUAAUUAUUAAAUACGAUACAGAAUUACAGAAUAACAUGCGUGCUGCACUGAAUCAAAAAAAAUUAUAUUAUAUUAUAUACCUAUUUGACGUGUGUACCUAAUGUUUAAUACUUUAUUUAAUUUACAUUAAACGCUUUGUUGUACCGCAUACAUCAACAUAAUAAACCUAUUAAUAUAUUGUACAAAUACAAA
Molecule: long non-coding RNA, 2452 nt
Organism: Rhopalosiphum padi (bird cherry-oat aphid)
Lineage: Eukaryota; Metazoa; Arthropoda; Insecta; Hemiptera; Aphididae
Exons: 7
Source: RefSeq, a predicted model, not a curated record